GACGAACGCUGGCGGCGUGCUUAACACAUGCAAGUCGAACGGAAAGGCCCUGCUUUUGUGGGGUGCUCGAGUGGCGAACGGGUGAGUAACACGUGAGUAACCUGCCCUUGACUUUGGGAUAACUUCAGGAAACUGGGGCUAAUACCGGAUAGGAGCUCCUGCUGCAUGGUGGGGGUUGGAAAGUUUCGGCGGUUGGGGAUGGACUCGCGGCUUAUCAGCUUGUUGGUGGGGUAGUGGCUUACCAAGGCUUUGACGGGUAGCCGGCCUGAGAGGGUGACCGGGCACAAUAGGACUGAGGUACGGCCCAGACGCCUACGGGAGGCAGAAGUGGGGAAUAUUGCACAAUGGGCGGAAGCCUGAUGCAGCAACGCCGGGUGCGGGAUGACGGCCUUCGGGGUGUAAACCGCUUUCGCCUGGGACGAAGCGUGAGUGACGGUAAUGGGUAAAGAAGCACCGGCUAACUACGUG
RNAcentral lists this ribosomal RNA (468 nucleotides) under uncultured bacterium. RNAcentral describes it as "partial 16S ribosomal RNA". It matches the Rfam family "Bacterial small subunit ribosomal RNA", at positions 28 to 507 of the family's 1533-position model. The record is from RNAcentral.